GAGGCUGGGCUUCGGGGGUGCGGGCAGGCGCGCGGGCGGGCUCUCGGGGGACGCGGGUGCGCGGGAGGACCUUCGCGGGGCGCCGGCUGGCCGGCCCUGAGCCGGUGGCCCGGAGCUAGGCUACCCGCCGUGCACCCGAAGGUGGCGGAACCCGCCCGGAGCAUCCGCCCGCGACCCGAGAUGUGGGGCUAGGUGGAGCAUUGUACCUUUUACCAUUUGAUGACUCAGUAGGAAGUAGAGAGCCUGCUCAAACACAGUGCUACAAGGAAGAAGCUAUAUAUGCUCAGAUUAUCAAGUAAGCUGGGUUUUGACAUGAGAAACAGAAAUGUUAUGAUUUAGCA
Long non-coding RNA from Mastomys coucha (southern multimammate mouse), 341 nucleotides. RefSeq lists it as uncharacterized. The transcript has 3 exons. The record is from RefSeq and is a predicted model, not a curated record. NCBI's taxonomy places the organism in Eukaryota, Metazoa, Chordata, Mammalia, Rodentia, Muridae.